CCUACGGGAGGCUGCAGUAGGGAAUAUUGCUCAAUGGGGGAAACCCUGAAGCAGCAACGCCGCGUGGAGGAUGAAGGUUCUCGGAUUGUAAACUCCUUUUGUUAGAGAAGAUAAUGACGGUAUCUAACGAAUAAGUACCGGUUAACUCCGUGCCAGCAGCCGCGGUAAUAAGGGGGGUGCAAGCGUUACUCGGAAUCACGGGGCGUAAAGAGCGCGUAGGUGGGAUAGCAAGUCAGAUGGGAAAUCCUAGGGCUUAACCAUAGAACUGCAUUUGAAACUGUUAUUCUAGAGUAUGGGAGAGGUAGGUGGAAUUCGUGGUGUAGGGGUAAAAUGCAUAGAGAUCAAGAAGAAUACUCAUUGCGAAGGCGGCAUACUAGAACAUAACUGACGCUGAUGCACGAAAGCGUGGGGAGCGAACAGGAUUAGAUACCCGAGUAGUC
RNAcentral lists this ribosomal RNA (440 nucleotides) under uncultured bacterium. Its description in RNAcentral is "partial 16S ribosomal RNA". It matches the Rfam family "Bacterial small subunit ribosomal RNA", at positions 338 to 795 of the family's 1533-position model. The record is from RNAcentral.